GAAGGCGGCUUACUUGACUGUUAACUGACGUUGAGGCUUCGAGAGCGUGGGGAGCAAACAGGAUUAGAUACCCUGGUAGUUCACGCCGUAAACGAUGAUUACUAGGUGUCGGUGGGUAUGAACCCAUCCGGUGCCGCAGCAAACGCAGUAAGUAAUCCACCUGGGGAGUACGUUCGCAAGAAUGAAACUCAAAAGAAUUGACGGGGACCCCGCACAAGCGGUGGAGCACGUGGUUUAAUCUGAAGCAACGCGAAGAACCUUACCAAGUCUUGACAUCUGGAUGACAGGGACGUAACGGUCCCCUUACUUCGGUACAUCCAAGACAGGUGGUGCAUGGUUGUCGUCAGCUCGUGUCGUGAGAUGUUGGGUUAAGUCCCGCAACGAGCGCAACCCUUAUCCUUAGUAGCCAGCGGGCAGGGCCGGGCACUCUAGGGAGACUGCCGGGGAUAACCCGGAGGAAGGUGGGGAUGACGUCAAAUCAUCAUGCCCCUUAUGAUUUGGGCUACACACGUGCUACAAUGGCGUAAACAGAGGGAAGCGAACCCGCGAGGGGGAGCAAAUCCCAAAAAUAACGUCCCAGUUCGGAUUGUAGCCUGCAACCCGGCUACAUGAAGCUGGAAUCGCUAGUAAUCGCGGAUCAGAAUGCCGCGGUGAAUACGUUCCCGGGUCUUGUACUCACCGCCCGUCA
This 688-nucleotide ribosomal RNA is filed under the name uncultured bacterium. Its description in RNAcentral is "bacterial SSU rRNA". It matches the Rfam family "Bacterial small subunit ribosomal RNA", at positions 717 to 1399 of the family's 1533-position model. The record is from RNAcentral.